This 346-nucleotide unclassified non-coding RNA is filed under the name soil metagenome. Its description in RNAcentral is "partial contains 5.8S ribosomal RNA, internal transcribed spacer 2, and large subunit ribosomal RNA". The stretch from base 1 to 119 matches the Rfam family "5.8S ribosomal RNA", at positions 35 to 154 of the family's 154-position model. The record is from RNAcentral.
GAUGAAGAACGUAGCGAAAUGCGAUACGUAAUGUGAAUUGCAAAUUCAGUGAAUCAUCGAGUCUUUGAACGCACAUUGCGCCCCCUGGUAUUCCGGGGGGCAUGCCUGUCCGAGCGUCAUUGCUGCCCUCAAGCACGGCUUGUGUGUUGGGCCCCGUCCUCCGAUCCCGGGGGACGGGCCCGAAAGGCAGCGGCGGCACCGCGUCCGGUCCUCGAGCGUAUGGGGCUUUGUCACCCGCUCUGUAGGCCCGGCCGGCGCUUGCCGAUCAACCCAAAUUUUUUAUCCAGGAUGACCUCGGAUCAGGUAGGGAUACCCGCUGAACUUAAGCAUAUCAAUAAGCGGAGGA